CAACCCUCAAGCCUAGCUUGGUGUUGGGCCUAGCCUGUCUGGCCGGCCUUAAAGAUAGUGGCGGCGCCGCCUGGCCCUAAGCGUAGUACACCUCUCGCUCUAGGGUCCUGCGGUGGCCUGCCAAACCCCCUUAAUUCUAU
This 140-nucleotide unclassified non-coding RNA is filed under the name uncultured Oidiodendron. RNAcentral describes it as "sequence contains ITS2". Lineage: Eukaryota; Fungi; Ascomycota; Leotiomycetes; Myxotrichaceae. The record is from RNAcentral.